Molecule: ribosomal RNA, 407 nt
Filed under: uncultured bacterium
Lineage: Bacteria
Description: partial 16S ribosomal RNA
Rfam family: Bacterial small subunit ribosomal RNA
Source: RNAcentral
AUUGAACGCUGGCGGCAGGCCUAACACAUGCAAGUCGAGCGGAGCGGCGGACGCGUGAGUAAUGCCUAGGAAUCUGCCUGGUAGUGGGGGAGAACGUCCGGAAACGGGCGCUAAUACUGCAUACUAUCAGAUGAGCCUAGGUCGGAUUAGCUAGUUGGUGGGGUAAAGGCCUACCAAGGCGACGAUCCGUAACUGGUCCGAGAGGAUGAUGAGUCACACGGGAACUGAGACACGGUCCAGACUCCUACGUGCGUCAGCAGUGGGGAAUAUGGGACAAUGGGCGAAAACCUGAGGCAGCCAUGCCGCGUGUGUGAAGAAGGUCUUCGGGUUGUAAAGCACUUUAAGUUGGGAGGCGUUACCAACAGAAUAAGCACCGGCUAACUUCGUGCCAGCAGCCGCGGUAAUUC